Pimephales promelas (fathead minnow) is the source of this 186-nucleotide long non-coding RNA. RefSeq lists it as uncharacterized. Lineage: Eukaryota; Metazoa; Chordata; Actinopteri; Cypriniformes; Leuciscidae. The record is from RefSeq and is a predicted model, not a curated record.
GUUUGAAGUGGGCGCGCACUGAUGCACUUGACUGCAUUUCACUAACGGUUGCAGACUUCUCACCUCAAAGCCAGCGAAGUUUGGUUCAAGAACAAAAGAUCUGAGUAAAGCCACGGUAUGGAAAAGACUUGGAUGUACAAUGAUAGGGGUAAUUCAUGAAGAAGGGCAUUAAGGCUAGUUGGUAAA